GAUGAACGCUGGCGGUGUGCCUGAUACAUGCAAGUCGAACGAGAAUCCCUUCGGGGAGGAAAGUGGCGCACGGGUGCGUAACACGUGGAUGACCUACCCCUUGGUUCGGGACAACAGCGGGAAACUGCUGCUAAUACCGGAUGUGUCGUAGCAAUACGAGAAAGGCCCGCAAGGGUCGCCAGAGGACGGGUCCGCGUCCCAUCAGCUAGUUGGUGAGGUAAUGGCUCACCAAGGCGAAGACGGGUAGCUGGUCUGAGAGGUGACCGGCCACACUGGGACUGAGACACGGCCCAGACUCCUACGGGAGGCAGCAGUGGGGAAUAUUGCACAAUGGGCGCAAGCCUGAUGCAGCAACGCCGCGUGAGGGACGACGGCCUUCGGGUUGUAAACCUCUUUUAGCAGGGAAGAAGCGAAAGUGACGGUACCUGCAGAAAAAGCACCGGCUAACUACGUGCCAGCCGCCGCAGUAA
Molecule: ribosomal RNA, 470 nt
Filed under: uncultured bacterium
Lineage: Bacteria
Description: partial 16S ribosomal RNA
Rfam family: Bacterial small subunit ribosomal RNA
Source: RNAcentral